GACGAACGCUGGCGGCGUGCUUAACACAUGCAAGUCGAACGGAAAGGCCCUGCUUGCAGGGUACUCGAGUGGCGAACGGGUGAGUAACACGUGGGUGAUCUGCCCUGCACUUCGGGAUAAGCCUGGGAAACUGGGUCUAAUACCGGAUAGGAGCCAUUUUUAGUGUGAUGGUUGGAAAGUUUUUUCGGUGUAGGAUGAGCUCGCGGCCUAUCAGCUUGUUGGUGGGGUAAUGGCCUACCAAGGCGGCGACGGGUAGCCGGCCUGAGAGGGUGGACGGCCACAUUGGGACUGAGAUACGGCCCAGACUCCUACGGGAGGCAGCAGGGGGGAAUAUUGCACAAUGGGCGCAAGCCUGAUGAAGCGACGCCGCGUGGGGGAUGACGGCCUUCGGGUUGUAAACUCCUUUCGCUAGGGACGAAGCUUUUUGUGACGGUACCGAGAUAAGAAGCACCGGCUAACUACGU
This 464-nucleotide ribosomal RNA is filed under the name uncultured bacterium. RNAcentral describes it as "partial 16S ribosomal RNA". It matches the Rfam family "Bacterial small subunit ribosomal RNA", at positions 28 to 506 of the family's 1533-position model. The record is from RNAcentral.